This 327-nucleotide long non-coding RNA is filed under the name Bos taurus (domestic cattle). RNAcentral's name for it is "long non-coding RNA NONBTAT006976". The record is from RNAcentral. Lineage: Eukaryota; Metazoa; Chordata; Mammalia; Artiodactyla; Bovidae.
GUACCCAGUUUGUAUUGUUUCAGUUACUGAAAGUGGACUUUUAGUAGAUUUUCAGAAAAUAGCAGUUAUGAAUGAAAAAGCCAGCUGUUUAAGCCUCUCUUCUGGUAUACCUUCUUCUCAGUCUAUUGUAGAAUCUUUAAAAUUUUUAAUCUUUAAAGCAUUAGUCUUGCCUUUUGUAUUCUUUCCUUGAAUGAUUUUUGCUGAUAAAACACAGGGUUUUCCUGUGCUGUUUGUAAGAGAUAUAUAAUUUCCAGUUUGGGGGUAAUUUUAGUGUUGAAAGUACCCUGCCAAAAAGAAUUGAACUAUGAAAUUAAAAUCUUAUCGAUU